RNAcentral lists this unclassified non-coding RNA (456 nucleotides) under uncultured bacterium. RNAcentral describes it as "partial contains 16S ribosomal RNA, 16S-23S ribosomal RNA intergenic spacer, and 23S ribosomal RNA". The stretch from base 326 to 456 matches the Rfam family "Bacterial large subunit ribosomal RNA", at positions 1 to 131 of the family's 2925-position model. The record is from RNAcentral.
UGCGGCUGGAUCCCCUCCUCUCUAAGGAUAUAUUCGGAACAUCUUCUUUAGAAGAUGCGGAAUAACGUGACAUAUUGUAUUCAGUUUUGAAUGUUUAUUUAACAUUCAAAUAUUUUUUGGUUAAAGCGAUAUUGCUUAUGCGAGCGCUUGACUGAAAAGAAUUUGUACAUUGAAAACUAGAUAAGUAAGUAAAAUAUAGAUUUUACCAAGCAAAACCGAGUGAAUAAAGAGUUUUAAAUAAGCUUGAAUUCAUAAGAAAUAAUCGCUAGUGUUCGAAAGAACACUCACAAGAUUAAUAACGCGUUUCCUGUAGGAUGGAAACAUAGAUUAAGUUAUUAAGGGCGCACGGUGGAUGCCUUGGCACUAGAAGCCGAUGAAGGACGUUACUAACGACGAUAUGCUUUGGGGAGCUGUAAGUAAGCUUUGAUCCAGAGAUUUCCGAAUGGGGAAACCCGG